GACCAUUGUCAGGGCCAGCCCUUGGUUGUCUGCGAAGGACACCCGCUUUUUCACCUUCUUCUCCUGGACAGCUGGGGCCACCAUUCCACUGGCUUCAUUCUUGCUGCUCAGCUGAAUACAAGGCCUCAGCGGUUUGCUGGGCUUUGGCGAGAUCUUAAAGGCAAACCUCUCUCGGCGCAAGGAAGGAGCCAUGCAGUUGUAUCUGUACUCGAUGUCCACAGCCAUCAUGGGGCUAGAUGAACAGGCUAGAACCCUGGAAAGGGAAGAGAAGAAAACAGCAGAGCAAUCAGAUCGGACAGAUGUGUAAAGGCAUCAUUCCAGCAGGGACCGGCAAACAAUGUUUCCUUUUAUCUAUGCCCACAUGGCGACAGAGACAAGACUCGCUAUGUUGCCCAGGCUGGUCUCACACUCCUGGCUCAAUCCAUCCUCCUGCCUUGGCCUCCCAAAGUGCUAGGAUUACAGGUCCACUUAUGCUCAGAUUCUCUUCUGCCUCUGCCGCCCCUGAGACAGCAAGACCAACCCCUUCUCCUCCUCUUCCUCCUCCUCAGCCUACUCAAUGUGAAGAGGAUGAGAAUGAAGACCUUUAUGAUGACCCACAUCCAUUUAAUGAAUAGUAAAUACAUUUUCUCUGUCCUAUGAUUUUCUUAA
RNAcentral lists this non-coding RNA (648 nucleotides) under Pongo abelii (Sumatran orangutan). The record is from RNAcentral. Lineage: Eukaryota; Metazoa; Chordata; Mammalia; Primates; Hominidae.